CAGAGUUCAUGCCCUUCGGGGUAGACCUCCCACCCUUUGUAUACAUUGCCUUUGUUGCUUUGGCGGAUCGCCUUUUGGCCACCGGCUCCGGCUGGUGCGCGUCCGCCAGAGACCCCCAACUCUGUUUUACAGUGUCGUCCGAGUACUAUAUAAUAGUUA
This 159-nucleotide unclassified non-coding RNA is filed under the name uncultured Helotiales. Its description in RNAcentral is "sequence contains ITS1". The record is from RNAcentral. Lineage: Eukaryota; Fungi; Ascomycota; Leotiomycetes; Helotiales.